CCCAUACCCGUACCCACACCCUUGUACGCGUCUUCUUCUUCUUCUUCUAGCUGAAAACCCAGAAAUCCACCAAAAAUACCACACUACCUUGCAGAACCCAUACCUAGUAGCCUCAACGUCAAAUCCUCAAGUCUCCUUUUGCCCCUUUUUAGGGAUUUCCAGAUCUCUUCACUGUUGCCUUUAAAAAAGAGCAAAGAAAUUCAAAUUUCAACUUCUAUUUCCCCCUCUUUCAACCCCAAUCUCAGCCUAUAAAUAUCUAUUUCUUUCAAUGUUUAGGAAAGAUAAAGUUUUAGAAAGGAUUGGAGAAAAGAAGCACAACAAUUGCUUACUAAAUAUUUAUGAAUGGAUUUCUGUUUUCUCUCUGGUUUGCCCCCUAACUGAAAUUCUCUGGAGCUCAUCGGAGCUCACAUGUGGUGGUGUAUAGCUUCACGGUCAAUCUCGGAGUCUCACCACGCUGCCCGAAAAAGACUCUAUCUGCUCGCCUUGCCAUUCAAUGAUUGGGACAUGGAGGCCUAAUUUACUUUUAUCGAGUCAGCCAGCCUUGAGGAAUCGAAGAACAAGUCUUUUAAGUUGAAGAAAAGGUCUCGGAAAGUAGAAAAAUGAGUUGUAUACAUCCGAUAUACUUUGAUAUAUAUCAUAUGUAUACAAAAAGGGGAAUUGGGUCAAAACCCAAAAAUUCCAGCAAAUUGGCCCAAAAAGGGGGCCCAAAUUCAAUCUCUCCAUUUCUCUUAACCCAUUUAAUUGUGUGGUUAUUUAUUACUUUGUUGUGUACUAACUCUAACUUUAGAACGAUAAAUUUCCAAAAGAUGAACGAGAUUCUUUAUGUUGGUUUAUUUAAAUAUAAUUCACUUUUAUCAA
Molecule: long non-coding RNA, 858 nt
Organism: Solanum pennellii
Lineage: Eukaryota; Viridiplantae; Streptophyta; Magnoliopsida; Solanales; Solanaceae
Exons: 2
Source: RefSeq, a predicted model, not a curated record